RNAcentral lists this ribosomal RNA (465 nucleotides) under Vreelandella stevensii. RNAcentral describes it as "partial 16S ribosomal RNA". It matches the Rfam family "Bacterial small subunit ribosomal RNA", at positions 338 to 795 of the family's 1533-position model. The record is from RNAcentral. Lineage: Bacteria; Pseudomonadati; Pseudomonadota; Gammaproteobacteria; Oceanospirillales; Halomonadaceae.
CCUACGGGAGGCAGCAGUGGGGAAUAUUGGACAAUGGGGGCAACCCUGAUCCAGCCAUGCCGCGUGUGUGAAGAAGGCCCUCGGGUUGUAAAGCACUUUCAGUGAGGAAGAACGCCUGGUGGUUAAUACCCAUCAGGAAAGACAUCACUCACAGAUGAAGCACCGGCUAACUCCGUGCCAGCAGCCGCGGUAAUACGGAGGGUGCGAGCGUUAAUCGGAAUUACUGGGCGUAAAGCGCGCGUAGGUGGCUUGAUAAGCCGGUUGUGAAAGCCCCGGGCUCAACCUGGGAACGGCAUCCGGAACUGUCAAGCUAGAGUGCAGGAGAGGAAGGUAGAAUUCCCGGUGUAGCGGUGAAAUGCGUAGAGAUCGGGAGGAAUACCAGUGGCGAAGGCGGCCUUCUGGACUGACACUGACACUGAGGUGCGAAAGCGUGGGUAGCAAACAGGAUUAGAUACCCUAGUAGUC